Molecule: transfer RNA, 66 nt
Filed under: Sorubim cuspicaudus
Lineage: Eukaryota; Metazoa; Chordata; Actinopteri; Siluriformes; Pimelodidae
Description: tRNA-Cys
Rfam family: tRNA
About the family: Transfer RNA (tRNA) molecules are approximately 80 nucleotides in length.
Source: RNAcentral
AGCCUUGUGGUGUAUUACAUGUUGGAUUGCAAAUCCAAAGAUGCCGGUUAACGCCGGCCGGGGCUU